This 345-nucleotide ribosomal RNA is filed under the name Triticum aestivum (bread wheat). RNAcentral describes it as "partial small subunit ribosomal RNA". The record is from RNAcentral. Lineage: Eukaryota; Viridiplantae; Streptophyta; Magnoliopsida; Poales; Poaceae.
AUGAGAAGGCCGCCGCCGCCACCGGAGCAAGCCCUCGCACCACCCGCCAGAUCCCUCCCUCACCUUGCGCCCCUUCUCCUUCUCCUUUCUUCCUCUGUUUCCUCUCUCCCUGAGGCCCUUAUCUCUCCUUCUCUGGAUGAGCAGGACGCCGCUGGCACCGGAACAAGCCGCCGCACCAGCCGCCAGUCAACGCCGCGCCCGGAUCUGCCCGUCUUCCUCGCGCCGCCACCGCGCCUCGCGUCACCCGCCGGCCGCCUUCCCGUUCCCGCAGGGAUCAGGACUGGCUCUACUAUCUGCAGGCAAGAAUAUGAUGUUGGCUUGCUAAUGUUUAGGGGAAGAGAGUAG